This 288-nucleotide ribosomal RNA is filed under the name uncultured bacterium. Its description in RNAcentral is "partial 16S ribosomal RNA". It matches the Rfam family "Bacterial small subunit ribosomal RNA", at positions 773 to 1060 of the family's 1533-position model. The record is from RNAcentral.
GUGGAUUAGAUACCCUGGUAGUCCACGCCCUAAACGAUGGGUACUAGACGUCGGGAAGCUUGUCUUCUUGGUGUCGCAGCUAACGCAAUAAGUACCCCGCCUGGGGAGUACGGUCGCAAGAUUAAAACUCAAAGGAAUUGACGGGGGCCCGCACAAGCGGUGGAGCAUGUGGUUCAAUUCGAUGCAACGCGAAAAACCUUACCUGCCCUUGACAUCUGGGGAAUCCUGCAGAGAUGCGGGAGUGCCGCAAGGAACCCCAAGACAGGUGCUGCAUGGCCGUCGACAACU